This 232-nucleotide long non-coding RNA is filed under the name Gallus gallus (chicken). Lineage: Eukaryota; Metazoa; Chordata; Aves; Galliformes; Phasianidae. The record is from RNAcentral.
CGACAUGGACCUCAGUGUUCUUCGUAGCAACGUCAGCAUGGUUAAGAGCUUUUGGGACAGAGCACCCAAAACAGUCUCUGUUGCUUUGUCUUCCUGCUCAUCAUGAGCUGAGUGCAUUUCUUCCUGUUGAGUCCACUGACAUCGCUUUUCACAAAUGGUCUCAACAAAUGCCAGCUUCUGCUCACUGUCGAGAACAUCACAGCUGUACACAAGCUCUUCUGCCCCCUCAAAU